This 465-nucleotide ribosomal RNA is filed under the name uncultured Klebsiella sp. RNAcentral describes it as "bacterial SSU rRNA". It matches the Rfam family "Bacterial small subunit ribosomal RNA", at positions 338 to 795 of the family's 1533-position model. The record is from RNAcentral. Lineage: Bacteria; Pseudomonadati; Pseudomonadota; Gammaproteobacteria; Enterobacterales; Enterobacteriaceae.
CCUACGGGCGGCAGCAGUGGGGAAUAUUGCACAAUGGGCGCAAGCCUGAUGCAGCCAUGCCGCGUGUGUGAAGAAGGCCUUCGGGUUGUAAAGCACUUUCAGCGGGGAGGAAGGCGGUGAGGUUAAUAACCUCAUCGAUUGACGUUACCCGCAGAAGACGCACCGGCUAACUCCGUGCCAGCAGCCGCGGUAAUACGGAGGGUGCAAGCGUUAAUCGGAAUUACUGGGCGUAAAGCGCACGCAGGCGGUCUGUCAAGUCGGAUGUGAAAUCCCCGGGCUCAACCUGGGAACUGCAUUCGAAACUGGCAGGCUAGAGUCUGGUAGAGGGGGGUAGAAUUCCAGGUGUAGCGGUGAAAUGCGUAGAGAUCUGGAGGAAUACCGGUGGCGAAGGCGGCCCCCUGGACAAAGACUGACGCUCAGGUGCGAAAGCGUGGGGAGCAAACAGGAUUAGAUACCCCUGUAGUC